RNAcentral lists this ribosomal RNA (256 nucleotides) under Salmonella enterica subsp. enterica serovar Typhimurium. RNAcentral describes it as "partial 23S ribosomal RNA". It matches the Rfam family "Bacterial large subunit ribosomal RNA", at positions 532 to 688 of the family's 2925-position model. The record is from RNAcentral. Lineage: Bacteria; Pseudomonadati; Pseudomonadota; Gammaproteobacteria; Enterobacterales; Enterobacteriaceae. RNAcentral also lists the same sequence under 1 other name.
AGGGGAGUGAAAAAGAACCUGAAACCGUGUACGUACAAGCAGUGGGAGCCCCACCACCAAAGCAUUCUCUGGUGUUGAAGGCCCUGCAAAGCAGCAUCGCGGUGGCGGAGCGUCGUUUGCGACGCCCAACACACAAAACAAGCGGUGAAUGCUUUGGGGUGGGGUGACUGCGUACCUUUUGUAUAAUGGGUCAGCGACUUAUAUUCUGUAGCAAGGUUAACCGAAUAGGGGAGCCGGAGGGAAACCGAGUCUUAAU